RNAcentral lists this unclassified non-coding RNA (421 nucleotides) under soil metagenome. RNAcentral's name for it is "partial contains 5.8S ribosomal RNA, internal transcribed spacer 2, and large subunit ribosomal RNA". The stretch from base 1 to 120 matches the Rfam family "5.8S ribosomal RNA", at positions 35 to 154 of the family's 154-position model. The record is from RNAcentral.
GAUGAAGAACGCAGCGAAAUGCGAUACGUAAUGUGAAUUGCAGAAUUCAGUGAAUCAUCGAAUCUUUGAACGCAUAUUGCGCUCUUUGGUAUUCCGAAGAGCAUGCUUGUUUGAGUAUCAGUAAACACCUCAACCUCUUCUUGAUUUUUCAAAAGGAGGGUGGACUUGAGCUAUCCCAACAACCUUUACCGGUCGGCGGGCGGCUUGAAAUGCAGGUGCAGCUGGACUUUUAUCUGAGCUAAAAGCAUAUCUAUUUAGUCCUCGUCAAACAGGAUUAUUUCUUUUGCUGCAGCUAACAUAAAGGAUAAUUGUCCUCUUUGCUGACUUAUGCAGGAUUUUACGACACUUUAUGUGUUGUUCAACUCGAUCUCAAAUCAAGUAAGACUACCCGCUGAACUUAAGCAUAUCAAUAAGCGGAGGA